UUCCUUGGAGCUAACCCGUUCAGCAGUAAGCAUGUCCUUAAACGGAUCGAAUAGAUAGAUUAACAGGUUUCCCCUAAGUAACUGCGAAGUGAAGCGGGAAAAGCUCAAAUUUAAAAUCUGGCGGGUCUUCGGCCCGUCCGAGUUGUAAUCUAGAGAAAGUGUUAUCCGCGCUGGACCGUGUACAAGUCUCCUGGAAUGGAGCGUCAUAGAGGGUGAGAAUCCCGUCUUUGACACGGACUGCCAGGGCUUUUGUGAUGCGCUCUCAAAGAGUCGAGUUGUUUGGGAAUGCAGCUCAAAAUGGGUGGUAAAUUCCAUCUAAAGCUAAAUAUUGGCGAGAGACCGAUAGCGAACAAGUACCGUGAGGGAAAGAUGAAAAGAACUUUGGAAAGAGAGUUAAACAGUACGUGAAAUUGCUGAAAGGGAAACGCUUGAAGUCAGUCGCGUUAGCCGGGGAUCAACCUUGCUUUUGCUGGGCAUACUUUCCGGUUGAUGGGUCAGCAUCAAUUUUGACCGUUGGAUAAAGUUCAGGGGAAUGUGGCAUCUUCGGAUGUGUUAUAGCCCUUGGUCGCAUACAACGGUUGGGAUUGAGGAACUCAGCACGCCGCAAGGCCGGGUACUUGUACCACGUUCGUGCUUAGGAUGCUGGCAUAAUGGCUUUAAUCGACCCGUCUUGAAACACGGACCAAGGAGUCUAACAUGCCUGCGAGUGUUUGGGUGGAAAACUCGGACGCGUAAUGAAAGUGAAAGUUGAGAUCCCUGUCGCGGGGAGCAUCGACGCCCGGACCAGACCUUUUGUGACGGAUCCGCGGUAGAGCAUGUAUGUUGGGACCCGAAAGAUGGUGAACUAUGCCUGAAUAGGGUGAAGCCAGAGGAAACUCUGGUGGAGGCUCGUAGCGAUUCUGACGUGCAAAUCGAUCGUCAAAUUUGGGUAUAGGGGCGAAAGACUAAUCGAACCAUCUAGUAGCUGGUUCCUGCCGAGUUUCCCCCCCCUUCGGAGAAGGGA
Molecule: ribosomal RNA, 1003 nt
Filed under: Hebeloma radicosum
Lineage: Eukaryota; Fungi; Basidiomycota; Agaricomycetes; Agaricales; Hymenogastraceae
Description: LSU rRNA
Rfam family: Eukaryotic large subunit ribosomal RNA
Source: RNAcentral